AAAUACAUCACUUAAAAAACAAAAAAAUAUAAUAAUAUAAUAAAAUGUUACUUAAAUUAAAUAAAAAAAUGAAGCUUAUGUUAAUGUAUCAGUAUUAGUAGUGUGUAAUCAGAAUCUUCUUCUUCUGUGUUUUCUUUCACGUCAAUCUUAUUUUUGAGUGAAGAAGAAGAAAUUGUAAAGUGAUUUUGAGUUCCCCAAAAGCCUCACUGUUUAAUAAUGUUCCCGUGACUUUCUCUCACUUGUUUUUUUUUUAAUCUCAAUUUCAGCCUCAAAAAUCAAAACUUUAUUUAUUUUUUCAUUUUCCAACCAAAUCUACUCUUAAUUUGUUUCAUCUUCAUUUUUCUCACUGACCCAGAUCUCUCUCUUACACAAUACUUCAUUGCUUGUUCCAUUGCUGCUGCAAAGGUUGUUUUUUUUUCUUCAUAUGAACCUCUUGUUACAUUGUUUUAUUGUUUUGGAUCCUUUGUUCUAGAACAUGUUUUGUUCCUUGUUUUUUACUGGAAAUGUAAAAAGCUUGUUACUUUAGUUAAUCUUGUACUUGUUUGUUUAAUGUUGAAGCAUUUUUAGUUUCUGGGUCUGUUUCUGUCUUUGUCCUUCAUAAUUGUUGUUGAUAAAAUUCAUGACUUUAUUCACAAAAAUUGUAAUUCUGUUAUUUUGUUGGUUUAUUUUUUUGUUUGUUUGUUUCUAUCAUGUUCAGUUUUUUGAUAUGAUUUUGAAUUAAGACUAGAAUUGUGUUUUAUUUGAGUCAACAUAGCUCAAAUUAUGUGUGGUAUUGUUUUUACUUAUGUUUUAGUUUUUGAUUACGCAGUAUUGGAGCUUGAAGAAGAGCAAGUUUNNNN
This 839-nucleotide long non-coding RNA is filed under the name Trifolium pratense (red clover). RNAcentral describes it as "long non-coding RNA (TPRA_LNC000181)". The record is from RNAcentral. Lineage: Eukaryota; Viridiplantae; Streptophyta; Magnoliopsida; Fabales; Fabaceae.